Molecule: long non-coding RNA, 249 nt
Filed under: Prunus dulcis (almond)
Lineage: Eukaryota; Viridiplantae; Streptophyta; Magnoliopsida; Rosales; Rosaceae
Description: sRNA ncRNA
Source: RNAcentral
AUGAGGCGAGCCUUUCUGGGAGGGUGGCUUACACAUGCCACCAGAGAAUUUCACCGAAAAAUGUACGCCUUUCUGCGAGGCGGCUUCCACAUGCCACACGGAACAUUUCACCGAAAAGGCUUAGCGAGGCGCAGUCAAGGUAAUCAAGACAGAACAGAAUUCUUACACCUCAACGUGGUGGUGAGGCUUACGCCGUACACGACGGUGUAUAAAACGCUUCACUUUAUGCCUUGUGAUCUGUUUUCAUAA